RNAcentral lists this ribosomal RNA (515 nucleotides) under uncultured Alphaproteobacteria bacterium. RNAcentral describes it as "bacterial SSU rRNA". It matches the Rfam family "Bacterial small subunit ribosomal RNA", at positions 224 to 756 of the family's 1533-position model. Lineage: Bacteria; Pseudomonadati; Pseudomonadota; Alphaproteobacteria. The record is from RNAcentral.
GAUUAGCCCGCGUUGGAUUAGGUAGUUGGUGGGGUAAUGGCCUACCAAGCCGACGAUCCAUAGCUGGUUUGAGAGGAUGAUCAGCCACACUGGGACUGAGACACGGCCCAGACUCCUACGGGAGGCAGCAGUGGGGAAUCUUAGACAAUGGGGGCAACCCUGAUCUAGCCAUGCCGCGUGAGUGAUGAAGGCCUUAGGGUUGUAAAGCUCUUUCAGCUGGGAAGAUAAUGACGGUACCAGCAGAAGAAGCCCCGGCUAACUCCGUGCCAGCAGCCGCGGUAAUACGGAGGGGGCUAGCGUUGUUCGGAAUUACUGGGCGUAAAGCGCACGUAGGCGGACCAGAAAGUUGGGGGUGAAAUCCCGGGGCUCAACCCCGGAACUGCCUUCAAAACUAUUGGUCUGGAGUUCGAGAGAGGUGAGUGGAAUACCGAGUGUAGAGGUGAAAUUCGUAGAUAUUCGGCGGAACACCAGUGGCGAAGGCGGCUCACUGGCUCGAUACUGACGCUGAGGUGCGA